This 483-nucleotide ribosomal RNA is filed under the name uncultured bacterium. RNAcentral describes it as "partial 16S ribosomal RNA". It matches the Rfam family "Bacterial small subunit ribosomal RNA", at positions 29 to 506 of the family's 1533-position model. The record is from RNAcentral.
AUUGAACGCUGGCGGCAUGCUUUACACAUGCAAGUCGAACGGCAGCGCGGGCUUCGGCCUGGCGGCGAGUGGCGAACGGGUGAGUAAUACAUCGGAACGUGCCCAGUAGUGGGGGAUAGCUCGGCGAAAGCCGGAUUAAUACCGCAUACGACCUGAGGGUGAAAGCGGGGGAUCUUCGGACCUCGCGCUAUUGGAGCGGCCGAUGGCAGAUUAGCUAGUUGGUGGGGUAAAGGCCUACCAAGGCGACGAUCUGUAGCUGGUCUGAGAGGACGACCAGCCACACUCGGACUGAGACACGGCCCAGACUCCUACGGGAGGCAGCAGUGGGGAAUUUUGGACAAUGGGCGAAAGCCUGAUCCAGCAAUGCCGCGUGUGUGAUGAGGGCCUUCGGGUUGUAAAGCACUUUUGGCGGGAACGAAAAGGACUGUGCCAAUACCACGGUUCGAUGACGGUACCCGCAGAAUAAGCACCGGCUAACUACGU